RNAcentral lists this ribosomal RNA (896 nucleotides) under uncultured bacterium. RNAcentral describes it as "bacterial SSU rRNA". It matches the Rfam family "Bacterial small subunit ribosomal RNA", at positions 31 to 920 of the family's 1533-position model. The record is from RNAcentral.
GAACGCUAGCUACAGGCUUAACACAUGCAAGUCGAGGGGCAGCAUCAUCAAAGCUUGCUUUGAUGGAUGGCGACCGGCGCACGGGUGAGUAACACGUAUCCAACCUGCCGACAACACUGGGAUAGCCUUUCGAAAGAAAGAUUAAUACCGGAUGGCAUAAUUAUUCCGCAUGGGAUAAUUAUUAAAGAAUUUCGGUUGUCGAUGGGGAUGCGUUCCAUUAGGCAGUUGGCGGGGUAACGGCCCACCAAACCUACGAUGGAUAGGGGUUCUGAGAGGAAGGUCCCCCACAUUGGAACUGAGACACGGUUCAAACUCCUACGGGAGGCAGCAGUGAGGAAUAUUGGUCAAUGGACGAGAGUCUGAACCAGCCAAGUAGCGUGAAGGAUGACUGCCCUAUGGGUUGUAAACUUCUUUUAUACGGGAAUAAAGUGAGCCACGUGUGGCUUUUUGUAUGUACCGUAUGAAUAAGGAUCGGCUAACUCCGUGCCAGCAGCCGCGGUAAUACGGAGGAUUCGAGCGUUAUCCGGAUUUAUUGGGUUUAAAGGGAGCGUAGGCGGGUUGUUAAGUCAGUUGUGAAAGUUUGCGGCUCAACCGUAAAAUUGCAGUUGAUACUGGCGACCUUGAGUGCAACAGAGGUAGGCGGAAUUCGUGGUGUAGCGGUGAAAUGCUUAGAUAUCACGAAGAACUCCGAUUGCGAAGGCAGCUUACUGGAUUGUAACUGACGCUGAUGCUCGAAAGUGUGGGUAUCAAACAGGAUUAGAUACCCUGGUAGUCCACACAGUAAACGAUGAAUACUCGCUGUUGGCGAUAUACAGUCAGCGGCCAAGCGAAAGCAUUAAGUAUUCCACCUGGGGAGUACGCCGGCAACGGUGAAACUCAAAGGAAUUGACGGAAGG